GUUUCACUUAAAAUAUAAGAUGGAAUACAGAUGUUUAACACUCACCCAACUGGAAAUCUGCCCCCCUUAUUUGUAAUUUGCUUUUUCUUAAUGAUUUUUUGAUACAUUUUUGUCCAAACAUGCCCUUUGGUGGGUGAAGUUUGGACAAAAAGCUUAGAUGGACACAGAAAUUUUUAAUCUUCGGUUAACUUGCCCCACUAUUGAGGUAAAACUCUUCUGAGUACUCUGCCCUAUGCCUUGUAACUUAUGAUUUUUCCACUCUGGCUGGUGGGAAUAGGCAGCAUUCCUGGCCCUGUGUAAGUGUUAGUGAUUGCUCCCUCUGAUUUUCUCAGGUUGUUCUUUUCCUGGUUUUGGGUAGAUUUUUUUCACAUGAUGCACUAAUCAGUGCUCUGCUGAAUAUUCAAGAGAAACCUUCUGCAGAUCUUUGGAGUUCUCCCUUUGUGCAGCUCUCUCCUCUAGGUACCACGCCCUGUGUGCAGCUCCCCACUCUGUGUACUCCGCCCUGUGUGCAGCUCCCUUCUCUUGUGUACUCCACCCUGUGUGCAGCUCCCUCCUCUGUGUACUCCGCCCUGUGUGCAGCUCCCUCCUCUUGUGUACUCCACCCUGUGUGCAGCUCCCUCCUCUUGUGUACUCCGCCCUGUGUGCAGCUCCCUCCUCUGUGUACUCCGCCCUGUGUGCAGCUCCCUCCUCUGUGUACUCCGCCCUGUGUGCAGCUCCCUCCUCUGUGUACUCCACUCUGUGAACUCUGGCCUCUUUGACAUUUGUGGAGUUCCUGCUCAAUCUCCUUAACUCAAGGAGACUGCCAGUCUCUGCCUACAGGAUAUUUCAAUGAAUACUUACUUUUUAUGGCAAAUACUAGAAAACCACUUGUUAUGUCUUUUCUCUACAGCUUUCCAUCUAGAAAUAUAACCAAAUGACCUAUUACAAUGCCUCGUUUCAUGUCUGGUCACCUGUAAGUGUCAGAAAGUGCCUCCUCACCUGUAAUUUUUACUGAUUAGUUGUAGUUCCACCACUGUGACAUAUAGGCAAGCCUUGUGACGAACCUUCCUCUGUACUUCUAAAGGCCUGAUUUCAGUUCCUUUUCCAUCUAGGUUGUUCUUCACUGAAAUACAAC
This 1114-nucleotide long non-coding RNA is filed under the name Papio anubis (olive baboon). RNAcentral's name for it is "lncRNA (ENSPANG00000044865.1)". Lineage: Eukaryota; Metazoa; Chordata; Mammalia; Primates; Cercopithecidae. The record is from RNAcentral.